GACAAACGCUGGCGGCAUGCCUAACACAUGCAAGUCGAACGGACAGAACAGGGAAGCUUUUCGGAGUGGAACUGGAAAGUUAGUGGCGGAUGGGUGAGUAACGCGUGGACAACCUACCUUGUAAAGGGGAAUAACCUCGAGAAAUCGAAGCUAAUACCCCAUAAUAACCUUGCUUCGCAUGAAGUAAGGAGGAAAGGCGGCCUUAGCGCUGUCGAUACAAGAUGGGUCCGCGUCUGAUUAGCUAGUUGGUGAGGUAAAGGCUCACCAAGGCGACGAUCAGUAGCCGGCCUGAGAGGGUGAACGGCCACAUUGGGACUGAGACACGGCCCAAACUCCUACGGGAGGCAGCAGUGGGGAAUCUUCCGCAAAGGGCGAAAGCCUGACGGAGCAGUGCCGCGUGAGUGAAGAAGGCCUUCGGGUUGUAAAACUCUGUCCUUAUCGAAGAGAGAGUGUUGUAGUAACUGACAAUACUAGGACGGUAGAUGAGGAGGAAGCCCCGGCUAACUAUGUG
This 511-nucleotide ribosomal RNA is filed under the name uncultured bacterium. Its description in RNAcentral is "partial 16S ribosomal RNA". It matches the Rfam family "Bacterial small subunit ribosomal RNA", at positions 28 to 507 of the family's 1533-position model. The record is from RNAcentral.